RNAcentral lists this long non-coding RNA (605 nucleotides) under Canis lupus familiaris (dog). Its description in RNAcentral is "lncRNA (ENSCAFG00030003790.1)". The record is from RNAcentral. Lineage: Eukaryota; Metazoa; Chordata; Mammalia; Carnivora; Canidae.
AGGAAAACGCAGGAAGGAAAAAGUCGCCCGUGUCAGGUGCUCGCUCAGAGAGUGAGCAACUCUGAAACUGUGUCAAAAGAAAGGUCUAGGACGAGGGUCGCAGUUUUGGGGAAGCUCGCAUUUGGCCACUUUCCAGGCUGGGCUGCUCGGAUGGAGUCAAUCGGAGACUUAGAAGAUGCUACGUCUCACAGGCUGACUUCUGUAGCCACAGCUUCAAAGACAACAGUUUUCUUUUAAUCAGAGUCAAUUAAUUAAGAAAGAGACAAGAAGUAUAAGUAUCUUGGAAAGAUACCAAACAGAAGCUAAGAGAAGCUACUCUGAGGAGGAUGUCAAACAUCACACUGAUGCGGGUACAAUGGAACUCCAGCAAAAACAAAAGAACCCAAAUCAGACGCUGUGGGAUCCAGCCAGGAGAAAUAUCCUGAACUGAUAAAUCCAUGUUUAAUUAAGUGCCUUCAGUGUGUUAUACGGGAAAUAGCUCUUCCAGGAGUGAACUUUGCCUAAGAAGAAUCUGAUUUCCAGAAAAUAUCAGUUAACUAAGUCUAAAUAAUUAAUUUAUGUGUCAGUUAGGUUUUGAGCCCCCCUAAGAGGUCUUGUUUUGUUAC